This is a long non-coding RNA of Lontra canadensis (Northern American river otter), 209 nucleotides long. RefSeq lists it as uncharacterized. NCBI's taxonomy places the organism in Eukaryota, Metazoa, Chordata, Mammalia, Carnivora, Mustelidae. The transcript is spliced from 3 exons. The record is from RefSeq and is a predicted model, not a curated record.
CCUUCCAUCUUCCUAAAGCCUCAAGGCCCUCAUCACCUGAUCCCAUAGCAGGUCUCCAUCACAGUAAUGAAAAAACCUUCCCACAGAUCUGAAAGUCGUUAGCACGCCAGUGCUGCUAGUCAUUCUUGCCUCCUCCUUGGGAACCACCUGGAAACUUCCUUGUUUGUGUGGUGUGUGUGUGAAGAGAUGGGGAUACUCGUUCUGAAUGA